Molecule: ribosomal RNA, 253 nt
Filed under: uncultured bacterium
Lineage: Bacteria
Description: partial 16S ribosomal RNA
Rfam family: Bacterial small subunit ribosomal RNA
Source: RNAcentral
GACGUAGGGUGCGAGCGUUGUCCGGAUUUACUGGGCGUAAAGAGCUCGUAGGCGGCUUGUUGCGUCGACUGUGAAAACCCGCGGCUUAACCGCGGGCUUGCAGUUGAUACGGGCAGGCUAGAGUUCGGUAGGGGAGACUGGAAUUCCUGGUGUAGCGGUGAAAUGCGCAGAUAUCAGGAGGAACACCGAUGGCGAAGGCAGCUUACUGGGCCGAUACUGACGCUGAGGAGCGAAAGCGUGGGGAGCGAACAGG